UACGUAGGGUGCGAGCGUUAAUCGGAAUUACUGGGCGUAAAGCGUGCGCAGGCGGUUCGUUAAGUUCGUUGUGAAAGCCCCGGGCUCAACCUGGGAACUGCAAUGGAAACUGGCGGGCUUGAGUGUGGCAGAGGGGGGUGGAAUUCCCGGUGUAGCAGUGAAAUGCGUAGAGAUCGGGAGGAACAUCAGUUGCGAAGGCGGCUCUCUGGACCAGCACUGACACUGAGGCACGAAAGCGUGGGGAGCAAACAGG
Molecule: ribosomal RNA, 253 nt
Filed under: uncultured bacterium
Lineage: Bacteria
Description: partial 16S ribosomal RNA
Rfam family: Bacterial small subunit ribosomal RNA
Source: RNAcentral